CAGAAUCCGGUUGAUCCUGCCGGACCUGACUGCUAUCGGAUUGAUACUAAGCCAUGCGAGUCAUUGUAGCAAUACAAGGCAUACGGCUCAGUAACGCGUAGUCAACCUAACCUAUGGACGGGAAUAACCUCGGGAAACUGAGAAUAAUGCCCGAUAGAACAUUAUGCCUGGAAUGGUUUAUGUUCCAAAUGAUUUAUCGCCGUAGGAUGGGACUGCGGCCUAUCAGUUUGUUGGUGAGGUAAUGGCCCACCAAGACUAUUACAGGUACGGGCUCUGAGAGGAGUAGCCCGGAGAUGGGUACUGAGACACGGACCCAGGCCCUAUGGGGCGCAGCAGGCGAGAAAACUUUGCAAUGUGCGAAAGCACGACAAGGUUAAUCCGAGUGGUUUCUGCUAAAGAAACCUUUUGUCAGUCCUAGAAACACUGAUGAAUAAGGGGUGGGCAAGUUCUGGUGUCAGCCGCCGCGGUAAAACCAGCACCUCAAGUGGUCAGGAUGAUUAUUGGGCCUAAAGCAUCCGUAGCCGGCUCUGUAAGUUUUCGGUUAAAUCUGUACGCUCAACGUACAGGCUGCCGGGAAUACUGCAGAGCUAGGGAGUGGGAGAGGUAGACGGUACUCGGUAGGAAGGGGUAAAAUCCUUUGAUCUAUUGAUGACCACCUGUGGCGAAGGCGGUCUACCAGAACACGUCCGACGGUGAGGGAUGAAAGCUGGGGGAGCAAACCGGAUUAGAUACCCGGGUAGUCCCAGCUGUAAACUAUGCAAACUCAGUGAUGCAUUGGCUUGUGGCCAAUGCAGUGCUGCAGGGAAGCCGUUAAGUUU
RNAcentral lists this ribosomal RNA (818 nucleotides) under Candidatus Nitrosopumilus sp. RNAcentral describes it as "bacterial SSU rRNA". It matches the Rfam family "Archaeal small subunit ribosomal RNA", at positions 1 to 822 of the family's 1478-position model. The record is from RNAcentral. Lineage: Archaea; Thermoproteati; Nitrososphaerota; Nitrososphaeria; Nitrosopumilales; Nitrosopumilaceae.